ACGGGAGGCAGCAGUGGGGGAUAUUGCACAAUGGGGGAAACCCUGAUGCAGCGACGCCGCGUGAGUGAUGAAGUAUUUCGGUAUGUAAAGCUCUAUCAGCAGGGAAGAAAAUGACGGUACCUGACUAAGAAGCUCCGGCUAAAUACGUGCCAGCAGCCGCGGUAAUACGUAUGGAGCAAGCGUUAUCCGGAUUUACUGGGUGUAAAGGGAGCGUAGACGGUGACGCAAGUCUGAAGUGAAAGGUGUGGGCUCAACCCGCAAACUGCUUUGGAAACUGUGUGACUAGAGUGUCGGAGAGGUAAGUGGAAUUCCUAGUGUAGCGGUGAAAUGCGUAGAUAUUAGGAGGAACACCAGUGGCGAAGGCGGCUUACUGGACGAUAACUGACGUUGAGGCUCGAAAGCGUGGGGAGCAGACAGGAUUAGAUACCCUGGUA
Molecule: ribosomal RNA, 434 nt
Filed under: uncultured bacterium
Lineage: Bacteria
Description: partial 16S ribosomal RNA
Rfam family: Bacterial small subunit ribosomal RNA
Source: RNAcentral